AGAUUCAGUGCAAAAUAUUGCUACCUACGGCUUAUGAAAAGUCUUUACAAAAGGACUGUGUAUUGAAAACUCUUUAGACAAACACGUACCCACGGCUUGAUGAAAAGUCUUUAACAAAGACUGUUAAUCAAAACAGAUUCAUUGGUUAACUACCCACAGCUUUAUGAAGGUUCUUGAGACAAUAUUGAUACCUGCGGCUUUAUGAAGAAGAGUCUUGAGACAAUAUUUCUACCUACGGCUUGAGAAAUAUCCUUAAGCAAGGAGUCUUUAGACAAGAAAAAGCUCUGAAUCUGUUGGGUGGAUAAAACGACCAACUACCCACUGAAUAUCCACAGCUUAUGGAGAGUUCUUGGACAAUAUUGCUACCCACGGCUUAAUAAAAGUUGCGUGUUGGAAGGGAACAAACUACCCACGGCUUUGAAAGGUCUUAGACAAAUAUUGUGGUUAGGUUUUCUGAGUUUUUUCUGCUGUAAAGACGACCAGCGGUUAAAGAAG
Molecule: long non-coding RNA, 495 nt
Filed under: Brassica napus (rape)
Lineage: Eukaryota; Viridiplantae; Streptophyta; Magnoliopsida; Brassicales; Brassicaceae
Description: long non-coding RNA (BNAP_LNC021536)
Source: RNAcentral